GGAAGCGUGCCUGAACACUAAGGGUUACUUUGAUAGAGUAAAACAUAGGGAAUGAGCCCCCUCACUUCCU
RNAcentral lists this transfer RNA (70 nucleotides) under Acanthodactylus schmidti. RNAcentral's name for it is "tRNA-Ile". The record is from RNAcentral. Lineage: Eukaryota; Metazoa; Chordata; Lepidosauria; Squamata; Lacertidae.